Molecule: ribosomal RNA, 376 nt
Filed under: uncultured bacterium
Lineage: Bacteria
Description: bacterial SSU rRNA
Rfam family: Bacterial small subunit ribosomal RNA
Source: RNAcentral
AUUGAACGCUGGCGGCAUGCCUUACACAUGCAAGUCGAACGGCAGCGGACCUUCGGGUGCCGGCGAGUGGCGAACGGGUGAGUAAUAUAUCGGAACGUACCUUUCAGUGGGGGAUAACGUAGCGAAAGUUACGCUAAUACCGCAUAUUCUGUGAGCAGGAAAGCAGGGGAUCGCAAGACCUUGCGCUGAUUGAGCGGCCGAUAUCAGAUUAGCUAGUUGGUGAGGUAAAGGCUCACCCAAGGCGACGGAUCUGUAGCGGGUCUGAGAGGAUGAUCGCCACACUGGAACUGAGACACGGUCCAGACUCCUACGGGAGGCAGCAGUGGGGAAUUUUGGACAAUGGGCGCAAGCCUGAUCCAGCCAUGCCGCGUGAGUG